Paramuricea clavata is the source of this 76-nucleotide non-coding RNA. NCBI's taxonomy places the organism in Eukaryota, Metazoa, Cnidaria, Anthozoa, Malacalcyonacea, Plexauridae. The record is from the annotation of a GenBank genome assembly.
GACCGCGUAGCUCACUAGUUGGCAGAGCAUUGGGCUAGUAUUCCAAAGGUCGUAGGUUCGAAUCCUACCGUGGCCA